This 239-nucleotide ribosomal RNA is filed under the name uncultured bacterium. Its description in RNAcentral is "partial 16S ribosomal RNA". It matches the Rfam family "Bacterial small subunit ribosomal RNA", at positions 15 to 233 of the family's 1533-position model. The record is from RNAcentral.
GAUCAUGGCUCAGGAUGAACGCUGGCGGCGUGCCUAACACAUGCAAGUCGAGCGAAGCACUUUGCUUAGAUUCUUCGGAUGAAGAGGAUUGUGACUGAGCGGCGGACGGGUGAGUAACGCGUGGGUAACCUGCCUCAUACAGGGGGGAUAACAGUUAGAAAUGACUGCUAAUACCGCAUAAGACCACAGCACCGCAUGGUNCGGGGGGUAAAAAACUCCGGUGGUAUGAGAUGGACCCG